RNAcentral lists this ribosomal RNA (496 nucleotides) under uncultured bacterium. Its description in RNAcentral is "partial 16S ribosomal RNA". It matches the Rfam family "Bacterial small subunit ribosomal RNA", at positions 28 to 507 of the family's 1533-position model. The record is from RNAcentral.
GAUGAACGCUGGCGGCGUGCCUAAUACAUGCAAGUCGAGCGAACGGACGAGAAGCUUGCUUCUCUGAUGUUAGCGGCGGACGGGUGAGUAACACGUGGAUAACCUACCUAUAAGACUGGGAUAACUUCGGGAAACCGGAGCUAAUACCGGAUAAUAUUUUGAACCGAAUGGUUCAAAAGUGAAAGACGGUCUUGCUGUCACUUAUAGAUGGAUCCGCGCUGCAUUAGCUAGUUGGUAAGGUAACGGCUUACCAAGGCAACGAUGCAUAGCCGACCUGAGAGGGGGUACGGCCACGGAGAACGGGACCGCGCACACGGAGCCCAAGGGAAGGACGAGAGAGGGAAGGGUGGCAAAGGGGGGAAAGCCUGAAAAAGGAACGGCGGGUGGAUGAAGAAAGUCCGCGGGUGGGAAAACUGUUUUAUGGGGGGAAAACAAUUGUGAAGGUAAAGAAGCACAUCUGAAGGGAACGUAAAAAGAAGACCAGGGCAAACAAGGG